Long non-coding RNA from Bombus terrestris (buff-tailed bumblebee), 7032 nucleotides. RefSeq lists it as uncharacterized. The record is from RefSeq and is a predicted model, not a curated record. The transcript has 2 exons. NCBI's taxonomy places the organism in Eukaryota, Metazoa, Arthropoda, Insecta, Hymenoptera, Apidae.
AUGCCUUUUUUAAAAAUUAAGCAUAAAACACCGUAGCUUAUAAAUUAUCUUAAAUAUGUAAGAAGUAUUUUACAUAGUAUUGCAUUUUUUCCUAACCUGCACGAGAAACAAAUAUAUAAGUGAAACAAAUAUCGUUAUUUAUGAAGUUCACUAUACAUAUAUAUAUAUAUAUAUAUAUAUUAUAAUAAUAUACAGAAAGGGGCACGUAGUUUGGAUUAUUUCAAUAAUUUUGUAAAUAAUAACUUUUCUGGAAAUUUUAAUUCCAAGAGGAUACAUAAUUUGAAGGGGACUCUAUGACUACAUUAUUCAGUCCUUUCUAAUCACUUAAACAUACAACAUUUCAAGCAUACUUUUAAUUCUUCAUCAAAUAUAUUGCUUUUAAUAAAGGAUAUAAGUAAUGUUAAUUGAUAUUGUAAAUACAUGACGAUUCUGUGUUCUACUACACACUGCUAUGGUUAAACAUUAAAUGUUUAACAUGUCUGAAAAUGAAGCGUUCAACAUGAUUGAGUUUGUUUUGGCAUUGCCUGCAUGUCUUGUAAUAAAAAGGCGUUUAAUUUCAAUUAAAUAAACAUGGAUUGUAAUAAACAUGUUCUUGUAAUUUUGAAAAUUACAGUGAUAACAAAAAGUCAUAUAAUGGAACAUACACUCCCUGUUGAAUUAUGUAACAAUCGUGUGAACCAAUUUCCGUUGAAAUCAUUAUUUAUGAAGUUAUCGAACUGUUCGCAGUAGAGUGCUUCGUCUUGUAUAUUUAUAAGAGAUUUGAAUAAUGAAUGAAAGAAAAAUGUGAUGGGUAAUUUUAUAUGAUAAAUUAAUAUGAAGGUUAAGAAUAACGAAGUAACUCACGAUUGAAGCUUCAAUCUUCAAUUGUAAAUGUUUAAAAGUUCAGGCACGAAAUGUGUAAAAUUCAAUAAUUCAUUAAAUAUCCUUGUCAAUGGUGGAUCCUUGUCGAAUUAUUGAAUUUACAACGUUUUUUAACUGAACUUUUAAAUAUUUUUAACUAAAGCACGAAGUUCCAGUCGCAAUUCUAUUGUUCCCGAUCUUUACUUUAUUGUGUCCUAUAAAACUGUUUUUUUUUUUUUUUUUAUAUUUUUCACUUGUUACAUAAUACUCUGUGUAUGGAUGUACAAUUAAUCGUGAAAAAUAGGGAAAUUGAAUGUCCUUUAUAAUUAACUCAUAAUGGGGAUAGCUUAGAGUUAGAAUGGGCAAAUCUUACUUUUAAAAGAAUGUUUUUUUAAUUAUUCUAACUAUUCAAUUAGGACAUUGACGUGUGGUUCUAUGUAAAAAGAAUUUGGACAAAAUUAUCUCUAAAAAGAAGAGAUAAUAUUUAUCUAGUUAUCUGACAAUCAUCAAAAUUAUUUUCUAAAUCAAAACUGACAUUCGUAUAUCCUAUUUUUUGCAGUACAUUAUGCACAUAUAAAUUCAUAUUAUACUGUACAACUGAUGUUAUCAAAAAGACACAUCAGAUACAUGAUACAUUAAUGAUACAUGAGAAUAAAAUGAACACAACGAGUAUAUAGAUUUUAUUAUCUCAAUUUUUUUUUCUGUCAAGGAUGUGAAAAAUUAUCCUUCGUCCUUUUUCUUAUUACAAAACGCUUCUGGUCAUUAAAACAUAUAUAUCCUAAGCUGUUUUUUAAAUGCCUUUUUCCGCAAAAAAAUAUUAAUUCACUUAAUGUAUUUACUUCUUGACACUGAAUAGUUUCUUAAAAAUCGAUAUUCUAAAAUUCAUAUAUUAGCAUAUUUAUUUAUAAAAGAUUAAGCUUUAUAUUAUACACACACACGCUUACACAUUAAUUAGUUACACACUUCAUAUAAGACCGGCAAUGAGAUAAUUUAUUUAAAAAACACCUUUUGUCUUUCGACACCAUAUGAACAAUCAUGAUGCUUAAACUACUACCUUUUUAUUAAUUUUUAUAAUUUAUAAAUUUUGUUAUAUACAUAUAUAUAAUUUAAUUUGUCUAAAUAAUGUCUAGAUAAUAUUUAUAAACGUUUAGUAUAUUAAUAAGUGGCAGUACUUUUGGUACGUAUACAAUUUUCUAGUAUUUUAGUUCACAUAAAUGUAAUGCUUCAACUGGUAUAAAUAACUCUGUGAUCAAGCAUAAUACGUGAUUACGCAUUACUACAAUAAAUAAUAUAUAAAUGUUAUAUAAAUUUCGCUUAUAUAUACCGCGCGUGCGAUGACAAUGCUUUGAUUAAGAAAAACGGUAAAUGGUUAUUCGUUUAAUAGCCUACUAUUUAUUUUACUACUCAGUAUUUUGAAUAAUUAUUUAUAAAGUUUGAUCUAUAAUACAAAUUGAUGUUUAACUUGCUACUAGUAUUGGUCCAUAGAUAAACUUCCUUAGAUAAAUAUCCAUAUAAACAAAUGCUUUCAUGGUAAUUUUUGCUAAAAAGUUUUAUGGGUACAAAUGUAAGAACAAAAUUAGAGAACUCAUUAAAUGAACGGUUCUUUAAUGUAUGCAAUGGAUUAAAGUGCAUGAUAACGAAGGUUGCGUAAUUUGUGUUUGACAUCAAUAUCAUCUGUCGUAAUUGCUUCGCAAUUUUGUAUAACGGAAACAAGAUUGUUUUACCAAAUACAAAAUAAUAAUCAUAAAAAUGAAAUUCUAAUGCUAUGGACAUGAAGCUGUUUUUGUUUUGUAUUACUAAUGGUACUAUUGAGUGAUUUUAGGACUAUUAAUGUGUUAGUGUUGCCAACUAACCAAAUUGCAGAAUUGCAAAGGACACAGGUCACCGUAUAAGCCCUAUCUCCCUGGUCCUUUAUAUUCCUAUUAUUUUCAUAAGAAAUUUACGAAUUUCCAACAUAUUUUAUCGUUAAUUGUUUUGUUAAACGUUUAUGGUUGGUUACAUAACAUUCAUUAAAAACAUGUCGAGUCGGCACGAAAUUUCUGAAGUUCCCGGGAUUCUUAUUCUUAUAAGUUUUAAAAUUAAGACGCCUUAUUUUAUGUGUGUGUGUAUAUAUCUAUAUAUAUGCAGGAUGCCCCUGAAGUAUUUUGAUUGCUUCUUUAAGGAGGUUUUAGUAGAGCAAGCAAACCAAAAUGAACGAAUUUUUCAGUAAUAUAGUAAUGUAUUGAUAAGAAGCUGUCAAAUACAUCAAUGUUUAGCAUUAGUAACAUUAUGUGAUGUACUGUGAAACAAGUGGUUUACACAGGCACAAGAGAAAUUGUAAAAUUCCAUAUAAUUGCUAGUAAAACUUCUAAUACAUUGUAAAUGUAUUACUAGAAAAUAAUGUAUUUGUGAAUUAAUCCAGUUUACCUACAAAUCUCCUUAAAGGAGAUAAUCUUUCUCAGAGGAACUGUAUAUCUUAAUAGGGUAAUUAAUCAUUUUUAAUGAAAUUAACAUAGAAUUUUAAUAUAAAUUAUUAAUUUAAAAAAUACUUUUUAUUGCAAUUAUCUGUAUGAUAUAAUUUAUGAUAUAGCUAACUUUAACUAUUAAAUUUGUAAUUUGUUAUUUUCUUUAUGUGUAAUGACUUAUAUUGUAAUCGGUUUCAUUAAUUUUAAAACUUAAUACAAAAUAUAUCCCAUAGUCCAUAUAUUCAUAACAAUUUUAUUAUAUAUAUCAUUUAAAACAUAGAAAAAAUUCAAUUACAAAAAAUAUUAAUUUUAUAUUUAUUAGACCUGUUUUGUAUGUACAAAAUAUAUUGUAUAAUUGAAAGUACAAUUACAUUUUAUCAACAAAUAAUAUUCUGUUUUUGUAAUAGCAAUCCUCCACUUGUACAUACAAUAAAUAGUUUAAUAAUGUAUAUUAAUUUUUGGUCAGAAUUUGACGAUAUAAGUGAAUCUUUAUGUAGCAUUAUAUUGUAGGUUUCCAACUUUUAAUAGAUGGUAUCAACUUGGUGCUUGGAAUGUUGAACAUUACAAACUAGCAUGCAUAUGGGUAACUAGAGAAUGACAAUUUAUUAUAUUUAAAAAGUCCAAAAUAAUAUCCUUAUCUAAUAAUCUUUUUGCAUGAAGCAUGUGAAAUAUUGUAAAUAUUACAUGUAUAUACAGAGUGUCAAUUUGAAAUGUGCAUGUGAAAAAAUUUUAUAGGCAAAAAUUUCCUAUGGAAAAAGAAGGUAAACCUGUAUAAUUUUGCUAAAAUAUCUUCUUUUUCAUCACAGAAUGUCGAAACACAAAUUUUACAGAAAAAUUAAACGAGGUGCAGUUAAACAGUACAUAUGUAUUAAAAUAUUUCUUAUUGUUAUUUAUGGUUGAAAAUUAUUAUAUUCAAUCUCUGUCCUUCAGAUUACUUAAAUAUUUUUAAACAUUAAUAAGCUCAUUCAGAUAAUAAAUAAUUUCAAUAAUGUAACGACGGAUGUACGAAUAAUGUAUUUUAUAUUUAAAAUCGACAUAUAUAUGUAUAUAAUUUUUGGCAACCUUUGUUGUUAUCCAAACAAUGCAUUAAAUGGAUUAAAUAUUGGGGAAACGAUAUAAUGGAAAACAGUUUCUUCUUAAUUGCAAAAGAUUUAGAAAGAUAUACUUUUCUAUAGAAAAUACAUUUUACACAUGCAAUAUCGCAUGUGCAAAAUAUAAUUAUAUUGUUCUUUUCAAAUAGAGAUGUAUACUUAUACUUCCUGUCAUUUUGUGCAUAAAAUAAUUAAGAUGAUUUAAAGUAACAGCUACUACUGUUAAAGAUGCCUCAAUAUUAUUUUAGUACAUUAUAAAGAUUUCAUAUAUAUUUCAUUUAUUGUUUUCGUGCAUAUUAUGAUUUAUGAUCGUUUAUGUAUUUUAUAGAAUUAAAUGGUAUUUGAGGUAUUGUGCAACAUCUCGUUCAUUAUGCUCAGCAUCGUACUGGCAGUGUUCUAAAUUCAAUCAAAUUAGUAGAUAAACAUUAUCACUUAUUGAUAUUAAUUAAAUUAUUAAAAUAUUAAAUAUAUUAAUAACGUAAAUUUAAAAGAUGUUAUCAUUAUAAAGAUACAGAUUAAGUAACAAUAUUAAAAUAUCACUUUACUCGUUAUUACUAAAUCUUAUAUAAUGAUUUAUAUUUCCUUUGUGUAUGUGGAUUUUGUAUAUUGUAUUGCGUAUUUUCAUUAGGUCAAUUAACCCUUUCACUAUUAUGAACACAAUGUUCACGUUUGCUAAAAUAAUUUUCAGUAAAUCGUGAAGAAAUAUUCAAGAUUAUUUAUAUAAAAAUAUAAAAUAUGUAAAAAAGGUAUAAAAAAUAUUACAUCUGUAACAUUGUUAAUUAGAUAAUUUAAUAUAUAAAUCAACAAAAUUGCUAUCAGAGUAACUCUCUUAAACGGAGUAUGUGUAUGCGUUAAUAGUAUGCGUUUCAUACAGCCAUCUGUAGAAUAUACAUCCUGUACGAGGAUCAGUAGAAUAUUCGUAGCGAAAGGGUUAAGCAUUUCAUCAUUUUCUAUGAAAAUUAAUGUGUACAUUCGUUCGUCCUUAAAAUUUCUGAUGAAAUUCUUUUAUCAUUUAGGGAAAAUUGGCAGAAUUGUUUGCGUUUUAUGUCAUCUUUUGUUGCAUGUAAUAUAAAUCUAAAAUUUGUGUGAUUUAAAAGUUUGCCAGAGGUUGAACAUAUAUUUUUGUUCAUACGUGUUAGGACAUCUCUGGAAAAGUCAUUAGGGAAUUAUAAACAUUUUUAAGAAUUUAUUAUUAUUCUAUUUGGAAUCAUUGAUUAUAAGAAUUCCAUAUAUUCAAUAUUUUGGUUAAAAAUCAACUAUUUGUAAAAUUAGAUAAUUUUCUUGUCCAUGUACAUAGAUAUUUCAACCUUCGUAUUACUAGAUAUUCUAUUGUAAUUAUUUUUAUUUGUUGCAAUAUAUAAUUUGACAGCAAUAAAUAUUAAUUAUUUAAUAAAUUAGAUUCAGAUUUUCGAUAGACUUUUCAGAGUUUCCUAUUUUGUCGUAACACCGUAACACUUAGAAAUAAUUUUUUUUUACAAUAAAUAUCCUGUUGUGUUUUGAAUUGCUAUGUCGCACGAAUACAAAGUUCUGACCAAUUAAUCGUGAAAAUGUGGCUUAAUUAUGUUCUUUAAUAAGAUCAACGGUGUCCUAAUACUUAUGAAAGUAAUGUAUGUUGAAUUUUUUCGGUAUUUACCAUGCCAUGGGGUUUACAUCUUAUUAUUUUUAGAGUUUAUGAACGCGUAUUGUGUAACCUUAAUCUCCAUUUUAUAAGAGAAUGUUUAUAUUAGUUGUUGAUGUUGUUUGGUAUUUUCCAUCAUAUAUUCUUGCAGUAUUUCUAGAAAUGCUAUCGCAGAGGUCAUAAAAAUACUUUAUUGUUAGUACAAUGUUAGAUUUCAAUUCUUGUAGGUUUCGUAUUUUCGUUAUUACAUAUUGGCAGUCAUUUGAUAUCGAUGUUAACUGAAUAAAAGUACUCGUUUAAAAUAUCUUACGAUCAUCAUCUUUAUUAUUUUACUUUGAUUUUAUUAUUUUAAUAUGUAUAAUAAAACAUACUUUCAGAGGUGUAAUUAUAAAUAUGUUUACUGAAAUGGUAAAUUAUGACAUGUGCCACUAAACUAUAUUUAAAUUUAUUUAUUAGAAUGAUUUACAUAGAGUACAUAUUUUGAGUAUAUAGUUCGCAAUUUUUUUAAGGAGAUUAAGGAGAUGUUCUUAAUUGAUUUCAAGUAUACUGUUGAACGUUUUCUAUUUGCUAUGAUUCAGUAAAAUUGCUUCAUCAACAAUGAUUAAUUAUUAUUUUUCUUAGACAGUAAAAAUAAAAAAAUAAUUACAGAAAUAAUAAUACAGACGAAAAUUCUUAAUUCUAAUUAUACCAUAUCAUUUGGUCAAGUAAAAAUUAAUACUACCAUGACAUAUGGCUCUAAAGAGAUUAUUUUUGACACACAAAGUAACAAACUUUUUUACACAUUUUAGCAAAUACUAUUCAUCACAGCGAUGAGUUCAAUUUUUUUGACAUCCUGUAUUAUAUAUAAUAUAUACAAGAAGUACGAAUUAUUUUAUAUACUUAAUUUUCUUUUAUAAAUUUUUAAUUAUCGAUCAUAUUGGAGCAUCCCAAUUUUUAUCCUAUUAAAAAAAAUUGAGAACCGCCAUCCGUGUACAGAGUGGUGAAUUGAAUAAGUAUGUUAACAAAUGGUUAAAAAGGAAAAUAAAAAGAAAUAACGGGA